This is a long non-coding RNA of Equus asinus (donkey), 2739 nucleotides long. The record is from Ensembl. NCBI's taxonomy places the organism in Eukaryota, Metazoa, Chordata, Mammalia, Perissodactyla, Equidae.
GACAUUAUUGAGCCUAAAGGAAGAAGCAAUCUGCCCUUUUCUUUUUACACCAAGACGAACCAACAUCCAAUCAGUCCAAUUUGAUUGCUUGCAUCAACCCCUGAGAUGUUAUUUCUGCCAGCAGUACUGAUUUCACUGGAAGAACAUGGGAUGAGAAGGGAGUGGAGUAGACUGUGGGGGGCUGCGAAGGACCUUCAGACUCCAAACGCCACCCCCUCCCCCACUCUAGUGGCCGCUCUUCUGGACCUUCUACCAUCAGAACUGGGGCCCUGGGGGUGGUGCAGGGCAUGUGUAAGCCCACGGGUCUUAGAAGAGGCCAAAGGAUGAAAAUGCAGUGGUGGUUCCCAAAGACACUCUCGGCCUACAGUCUUGUCACAGGAUGAUGCUGUUUCCCACACCUCGCUCUUUCCCUUUCUUUGACGUCACUUCUUUCAACACUGAUGCACUUGGGACCACUUGAGAUGCUAAUGCCUGUCAAAGAGGGCUUCCUGCAUUGUGGGGCUUAGAAGUGAGGUCCAUGGCUCUCUGUGCUCAGGGCUGUUUGGGCCUCUGUAGGUGUAUUGGGCAGGCUAAAAUUUGGCAUCCCUUCUAAUAAAUAUCUUUUUAUCAUCAUCAUCUUUCUAAACAACACAAUUAAAAAAACUGAGGCAGAAGGAGAGGACUAACUUGGAAUCCAAGAACCACUCUCCAGAAGUGGUAUUAACAACCGUUUGCUGUGUAUCCUUCCAGAAGAUUUCCAUACACUGUGAUGGACUGAAUUGUGUCCCCCCAAAUUCGUAUGUUGAAACUGUAACUCCUGAUGUGACUAUAUUUGGAGACAGACCCUGUAAGGAGAUAAUAAAGGUAAAAUGAGGUCAUCAGGAUAGGGCUCUACGUCAAUAGGGCUGGUGUCCUUAUAGGAAGAAAAAGAGACACCAGGGACGCACGUGCACAGAGAAAAGGCUACGUGAGGACACAGAGAGAAGGCAGCCAACUGCAAAUUAACGAGAGAGGUUUUGGGGCAAACAACCCUGCCGACACCUUGAUCUUGGUCCUCUGGCCUCCAGAAUUGUGAGAAACGACAUUUCUGUUGUUAAGUCACCCAUUAUUUUGUUACUGCAGCCCCAGCAAACUAAUGCACUGAUCUAAUUGUUUAAGUACAUGAGCAGGACAAUUUAUUAAAAUAUGAUAUUAUGCUUAACCUAUUUUCCCCUUCCUCUUCUUACCAAGGAGGCAGCAGCUUUUGCAAUUCCUUGCCUCAGGGGUGACUAACGUGCCCCAACUCCUAAGAGGUUUUGUUCAUUUCCAUUUCAAUGAAUACUACAAUGAAAUACCACAUUCUCCCAAAAAGCAAAUUGUCAAACUUUGUCCUUCAGAUGUUGUUCAGUGAAAAUGAGGAGGAACUGAUUUUCUAUAAAUAGAAAUUCACAGAAACAGAUUAAUUACCCAGUAGUGCCUACAUCCACUGGCCAAGCGAUGGAAGGUUCUAAGAAAAAAUUCAGGAGAACAUCUCUUAUUGUUCCACGAACUUGCUCUCUCUUUAGCUCUCUUUUGUUAUUUUUCUGAACCAGACAACUUUUGGGGAAGAAUGUUAAUGGGGGCAAAAUUAAGAUAAUUAAACAAUGAGCUUUUCUAUUAAUUUAUCCCAGUGAUGUUUUAGCAUUUCUUGUAGGUUCUCCCGUCCUCCCUGGAAGCUACACAGCUGGUUUGUUACUUAAUCCAGCUGUUUACACUAAAAUCCCAGGGCUCUCAAGACGUCAGUCUGAAGAACAUCAGAAACCCCUCAAGAUGUUUUCUAUUCUUUUAUCAAAGAAGAUAUUUCUAAGUCUAAAGCACAGAGAAUUGCUUUUGUUAUUCCUUGUAAUGAACAACCUUUUAGAUCUUAGUUGGAAAUGGUGCUCACUUGGGGAUUUCUUAGCAAUCACUGCUCCGAGGGCCUCCUGGAAUAGGAUGAAUGAGGAGAAGAAAUUUGACUGCUAUGGAGGCUGCUCUGCAUUAUCUCAACCUCACUUGCUUCUCACAGCAACCGACACUGCCAGCAGCAUCCUCUUGGGAAGAUAACCAGGACUAGCAGUGUGAGCACAGCUCCUGAAGGCCUGUUUCUAGAAGUCUCUCACUUCAGGAAGCUGAGGAGGGAUUUGGGAGACAGUGAGACUGACCAGGCUUCUCUUCGCUGUCCCUCCAUCCUUUCCCUGCUGAGCGCUUCUGUGAUGCAGUCACAGCAGAGUCCCCAGUUACCCUCAGGGUCAGCUCCAAAGGUCUUGGACCAGAAGCCAGCUCCUGUCUCCUCAGCUUUAAUUUCCAAACCACAGGCCUCCCUGGCCCACUUUCCUUGCUCCAAUACAGUGACACAGCGACAGAGUGGUGUGAGUGGGGGCCAGUACAAUCUGAGUUUUAGCCAGAACUUUGUCAGCAGGUUAUAAUUUCUAAAGGUUUGAUGGGCUAUCAUUCCUGCUUCCAGUUCCUGAGAAGUAACAGCAGUAAUUAAACAGUGUACUGUUUCCCAAACUUCAGCAAUUAGCAUACCCACACCAUGACUUUUGGUAUUUCUGCAAUCCUCUCUUAUUUAUGUAAAUUAAAAAAAAAUUCAUCAAUUUUUCACUUAAUAAAGGUUAUUUUAAAAGGAGAAUUUUAUGUUAUCUGCAUAGUUGAAAUACCAGUGUCACUUACUCUAAACAGAAGUUUUCAGUAAAAGUGAAUACAAUGAAAACAAAACAGAGUUAUUAAAUUUGAGCUCAAAAGUUGCCUGCCUAAAGCUUU